UUUCUUGGUCAUUUAAGAGGAAGUAAAAGUCGUAACAAGGUUUCCGUAGGUGAACCUGCGGAAGGAUCAUUAAAUGAUUUAAAUUUAAUCCAACACACACUUGUGAACCUCAUCGUAGAUAACUGUUAAACAGUUAUCUAUGUUUAAUUCUUAAUCACACUAUAUGACAUUGUAUGUCUGGAAUGUAAUACUAUUUUAUUUUACAACUUUCAACGACGGAUCUCUUGGCUCUCGCAUCGAUGAAGAACGCAGCGAAUCGCGAUAAGUAAUGUGAAUUGCAGAUUUUCAGUGAAUCAUCGAAUCUUUGAACGCACCUUGCGCUCUUUGGUAUUCCGAAGAGCAUGCCUGUUUGAGUAUCAUUUAUAUUAAUCAAACUAACUUUUGUUGGUUUGGAGGUGGGAUUUGCUGGCUCUGUUUCCUAGUCAGCUUUCCUUAAAUAUAUUAGUAAAGUUUUAAAAAAAGGUCUAAGUUUGCCAUGCCCAUCAAUAAGGAAGGGUGUGGCCAUUUUGGACGUGAUAAAGAUCGUCUAAAAGUGUUUGAUCUCAAUUAGCUUUGCUUCCAACACCCAUGUCUACUUAUUAGAUUGAUAUAUUUAAUAUCAGUCGAACAGAGACUAAACAAACUGAUUCGUGAUCUCAAAUCAGGUAGGACUACCCGCUGAACUUAAGCAUAUCAAUAAGCGGAGGAAAAGAAACUAACAAGGAUUCCCCUAGUAACUGCGAGUGAAGCGGGAAAAGCUCAAAUUUUGAAUCUGGUGGUCAUUCUUGGUCCAUCCGA
Molecule: ribosomal RNA, 777 nt
Filed under: uncultured Boletales
Lineage: Eukaryota; Fungi; Basidiomycota; Agaricomycetes; Boletales
Description: eukaryotic LSU rRNA
Rfam family: 5.8S ribosomal RNA (bases 205-359)
Source: RNAcentral